CAGCCGCCGCGGGAAUACGUAGGUGGCAAGCGUUGUCCGGAAUUAUUGGGCGUAAAGGGCUCGCAGGCGGUUUCUUAAGUCUGAUGUGAAAGCCCCCGGCUCAACCGGGGAGGGUCAUUGGAAACUGGGAAACUUGAGUGCAGAAGAGGAGAGUGGAAUUCCACGUGUAGCGGUGAAAUGCGUAGAGAUGUGGAGGAACACCAGUGGCGAAGGCGACUCUCUGGUCUGUAACUGACGCUGAGGAGCGAAAGCGUGGGGAGCGAACAGGAUUAGAUACCCCGGUAGUCCCUGUCUCUUAUAU
Molecule: ribosomal RNA, 301 nt
Filed under: uncultured bacterium
Lineage: Bacteria
Description: partial 16S ribosomal RNA
Rfam family: Bacterial small subunit ribosomal RNA
Source: RNAcentral